UCUAAUAUGGCAGAUAAGUGCGGUAGAUUUAAGCUCUACACAUAAAGUCAAAAUCUUUUAUUAGAA
This 66-nucleotide transfer RNA is filed under the name Anacanthotermes sp. A MLW-2022a. RNAcentral's name for it is "tRNA-Leu". Lineage: Eukaryota; Metazoa; Arthropoda; Insecta; Blattodea; Hodotermitidae. The record is from RNAcentral.